AUUGAACGCUGGCGGCAUGCCUUACACAUGCAAGUCGAACGGUAACGCGGGGCAACCUGGCGACGAGUGGCGAACGGGUGAGUAAUGCAUCGGAACGUGCCCAGUAGUGGGGGAUAGCCCGGCGAAAGCCGGAUUAAUACCGCAUACGACCUACGGGUGAAAGCGGGGGACCGUAAGGCCUCGCGCUAUUGGAGCGGCCGAUGUCAGAUUAGGUAGUUGGUGGGGUAAAGGCCUACCAAGCCUUCGAUCUGUAGCUGGUCUGAGAGGACGACCAGCCACACUGGGACUGAGACACGGCCCAGACUCCUACGGGAGGCAGCAGUGGGGAAUUUUGGACAAUGGGCGCAAGCCUGAUCCAGCCAUGCCGCGUGCGGGAAGAAGGCCUCGGUGUAACGAC
This 397-nucleotide ribosomal RNA is filed under the name uncultured bacterium. RNAcentral describes it as "bacterial SSU rRNA". It matches the Rfam family "Bacterial small subunit ribosomal RNA", at positions 29 to 430 of the family's 1533-position model. The record is from RNAcentral.